Molecule: unclassified non-coding RNA, 413 nt
Filed under: soil metagenome
Description: partial contains 5.8S ribosomal RNA, internal transcribed spacer 2, and large subunit ribosomal RNA
Rfam family: 5.8S ribosomal RNA (bases 1-120)
Source: RNAcentral
GAUGAAGAACUUAGCGAAAUGCGAUAAGUAAUGUGAAUUGCAGAAUUCAGUGAAUCAUCGAAUCUUUGAACGCACCUUGCGCUCUUUGGUAUUCCGAAGAGCAUGCCUGUUUGAGUGUCAUGAAAAUAUCAACCUUGACUUGGGUUUUGUGCUCUAGUCUCGGCUUGGAAUUGGGUGCUUGCCGCUUUUACGAGCGGCUCACCUUAAAUGUAUUAGCUGGAUCUGUCUUUGAGACUUGGUUUGACUUGGCGUAAUAAGUAUUUCGCUAAGGACAUUCUUCGGAGUGGCCUCGUUUCUAGGACGCUUGUCCGCUUUCCAAUACAAGUUCCACCUCGUGGACAUGACUUUUUAUUAUCUGGCCUCAAAUCAGGUAGGACUACCCGCUGAACUUAAGCAUAUCAAUAAGCGGAGGA